This 407-nucleotide ribosomal RNA is filed under the name uncultured bacterium. RNAcentral's name for it is "partial 16S ribosomal RNA". It matches the Rfam family "Bacterial small subunit ribosomal RNA", at positions 30 to 526 of the family's 1533-position model. The record is from RNAcentral.
AUUGAACGCUGGCGGCAGGCCUAACACAUGCAAGUCGAGCGGAGCUGCGGACGGGUGAGUAAUGCCUGGGAAUCUGCCUGGUCGUUGGGGAUAACGUCCGGAAACGGGCGCUAAUACCGCAUACUCUCAGAUGAGCCUAGGUCGGUUUAGCUAGUUGGUGGGGUAAAGGACUACCAAGGCGACGAUCCAUACCUGGUCUGAGAGGAUGAUCAGUCACACUGGAACUGAGACACGGGCUAGAAUCCGAAGGGAGGCAGCAGUGGGGAAUAUACGACAAUGGGCGAAAGGCUGAUCCAGCCAAGCCGCGUGUGUGAAGAAGGUCUUCGGAUUGUAGAGCACUUUAAGUUGGGAGGCGGUACCAAAAGAAUAAGCACCGGCUAACUUCGUGCCAGCAGCCGCGGUAAUUC